RNAcentral lists this ribosomal RNA (209 nucleotides) under uncultured marine eukaryote. Its description in RNAcentral is "partial 18S ribosomal RNA". The stretch from base 53 to 209 matches the Rfam family "Eukaryotic small subunit ribosomal RNA", at positions 1273 to 1456 of the family's 1831-position model. The record is from RNAcentral.
GAAUUUUACUAGAUCCUUUUAUAAAGUGAUAACUGAGUUGAUUGAUCGUGUGAGUAGUGGUGCAUGGCCGAUGUGUGUUGGUGGGUUGACUUGUAUGGUUAAUUUCAUGAACGAACGAGACCCUUACUUACUAUUUGAUAAGUUAGUUUAUGUUUAUUUGAAAUUGUUGUACUUUUGCUAAUUAUGCAGUGGAAGUGUGAGGGUGAUAU